CAAACAGACCCAAGACCCCAUCGUUUCUUCUUCUUUCUUCACGCGACAGCAGCAACCAAGCGGAAAGCCAACGUCCCUAUCCCCAUUAAUGUUGCAACAGUAAGAAAGAGGCACGCGUCUGUCCCCCUUUCUUCUUUCGGAAUGGGUUGAAAGUCUUAGAAAAGUAUGUUUGCCUCUAAUGGUGAAAAUUUUUGAAGUUUGAAAUUCGAAUUGGCCCUAAUUUCUAUCGGUUUCCCCCCGAAAUCUACCCUAAUUUCCCCUAUAUAAUCAUCUCUUCUAUUCAUUUGGAAAGGGGGAAUUUUUGGAGUUUUAAAAUUUUUGGUUAGAAACGUAUUAGAGAAAACAGAGAGGAAAAUUUUUUUCGGAGUCAAGAAAACAAAAAGAUACAUAGAGCUAUAUAGGUUUUUUUAAGCAAAUAUAAUCUCAAGAAAUCAAGUAUUAUAGAGAGUAUUUGGGAGUUAGUUUCCCUUUCCGAGACAUUCCCGCUGCUCGUCGGAGCUUUCGAAAUUCGCGCGUGGUGGUGAAGUCAUCGCUCCAAGUUCGUCCUCGCCUCCGUUCGCUGCCCGAAGAAAGGUAUUGCUUCCUUUGCGAUCUUCUCCUCGCCUUCUUCCACUUUUGAUAUGCUUCUCUGCCUGUGUGGUUGUAUGACUUUAAUACACUAUAUAUGCUUUCCCAAAUGACUUCAUGUCUUAGUCGAGACAAAGUUUUCGUGGUUUUGAAUCUAAUGUUAUGCUUCUUUGCUAUUUGAGAUUACCAUUCACAUGAAUCUAAGAGUUUCGAGUCAACUGAUACGCUAGAGUCGGUCAUGAUGCUAUUUUUCCAUUGUUUCUAUCCUAGUGACUUCUUGUCUCCUCUCUCAUAUUAUUGUUGCGAAUGAAUUUGCUGGGUAUUCCGAUAUGAUUGUUGUUUAGUGUUUAGUUUUUUCGUAUGUAUUUAUCCCGUUUGUCCUGUGUUGUUGGUAGUGUUGAGAUAGUUCUGGGUUAGGACUCAUGCUUGGUUCAAUAUAGUUUUGCCUUCAUCUCGAAUAAUAAUGAGCAUGCCAUUCUUACUUUUCAUGGUCGUGUAAUUUGGAAAUUAUCUAUAAUACGCAUGACUAGUUUGUUUAGCUUACUCGUCUAUUUGUUGUUAGCAAUCAACGAUGUCAGCUGCUAUGAAUGUUUUGUUGGUUUUUACCCAUAUGUGUAUAAGCAUGACAAGUUGAGUAAAAAUGUUUGCCGUAUCUAGUUGUUUAAAUAUAAUAAUAGUCCUAUUGAAAAAAGAAAGAAGGGUGAUUUGGCCUACUACUGUCUCUUAAUGGCACUUUGUCCUUUAGCAUAAUCAAAAUAGCAAUGUUAGG
This 1336-nucleotide long non-coding RNA is filed under the name Solanum tuberosum (potato). RNAcentral's name for it is "long non-coding RNA (STUB_LNC000496)". The record is from RNAcentral. Lineage: Eukaryota; Viridiplantae; Streptophyta; Magnoliopsida; Solanales; Solanaceae.